UCUGUCUUCAUUGUAUUAUGAUACUGUUGUGUCUGCUAUUACCCCCAACGUUGACCAGGCUCUAUCUGAAAUACAGUCUGUCUUCAUUGUAUUAUGAUACUGUUGUGUCUGCUAUUACCCCCAACGUUGACCAGUCUCUAUCUGAACUACAGUCUGUCUUCAUUGUAUUACAGAAAAACUUAAUUGACCUGAAAUUAGUGUUGAAUGCAGAUAAAACUAAGUGCAUAUUGUUCUCUAGAGCACAUAAAAACAAAUAAGAUGAUUUCAGCAUAUGAACGUUGGAUGGUUUUUCAUAUUGAUCGUGUCCCUGCUUACAAAUAUCUGGGCAUCUGGAUAGAUGAAAAGCUGUCUUUUAUAAAGCAUAUUGAUGAGUUAGCUGAGAAGCUGAGAGUUAAAAUGGUCUUCUAUAGAAACAGGUCCUGCCUCUCGCUAAAUAGUAGAAAGCAUAUCAUUCAGUCGACGUUCCUAUCAGUCCGAAACUAUGGCAACAUCAUGUAUACUAACGCAGCUGCCACUUCAUUAAAGCUUUUAGAUGCAGUUUAUCAUAGCGCACUGUGGUUUAUUACGGGUGAUAGUUUUAGUACUCAUCACUGCAUUCUCUACUGUAAAGUUGGUUGGCCGUCUUUGAUAUCACGUAGGUUGAUACAUUGCUGUGUUUUCAUUCAAAAAGCACUUAUACAAAAAUGGCCACUGUACUUACAUUUUAGUCAUUUAGCAGACGCUCUUAUCCAGAGCGACUUACAUUAGUGAAAGCAUACAUUUCAUAGAAUUAUUUUCCUGUGCUGGCCCCCCGUGGGAAUCGAACCCACAACCCCUGGCAUUGCAAACACCAUGCUCUACCAACUGAGCUACAGGGAAGGCUACUUAAUAUCUUUACUACAUUUAGACAUGAGUCACCACACCCAGUCUCAGGGAUGGGAAACUCUGGAAAUUCAUUUGGUCUCAACGGAGUUUGGUGAAUCAGCUUUUAGUUUUCCUACACUUUAUUUGUGGAACAAUCUUCAAAGGGUUCUUUAAAUGUGAUGUUUUGGUGUCUCCAGGUCAAUUCAGAAAGCUGAUUGAGGACAUUAUUACUGAUGAAUGUGAUGUUUUGGUGUCACUCGGUCAAUUCAGAAAGCAGUCCAUCUUGUUGUUUUGAGUAUAUAGUCCAUGUACAUUGUAUGCUACUUACAGCAGAGCUUUACGAGGGCAGCUGCUGGGGGUCGUUGUGACAGAAACCACCAGAGAAAGAGGAUUCCUGGUGGUGUAGGACUUUAAACAGCAGAAACCACCAGAGAGAGAG
RNAcentral lists this transfer RNA (1282 nucleotides) under Salmo salar (Atlantic salmon). RNAcentral's name for it is "lncRNA (ENSSSAG00000091766.1)". The record is from RNAcentral. Lineage: Eukaryota; Metazoa; Chordata; Actinopteri; Salmoniformes; Salmonidae.